UACGGAGGGUGCAAGCGUUAUCCGGAUUCACUGGGUUUAAAGGGUGCGUAGGAGGGCAGGUAAGUCAGUGGUGAAAUCUUCGAGCUUAACUCGGAAACUGCCGUUGAUACUAUCUGUCUUGAAUCCCGUGGAGAUGAGCGGAAUAUGUCAUGUAGCGGUGAAAUGCUUAGAUAUGACAUAGAACACCAACGGCGAAAGCACUCUGCUGGGCCGACACUGACACUGAGAGACGAAAGCUAGGGGAGCAAAUGGG
RNAcentral lists this ribosomal RNA (253 nucleotides) under uncultured bacterium. RNAcentral describes it as "partial 16S ribosomal RNA". It matches the Rfam family "Bacterial small subunit ribosomal RNA", at positions 524 to 776 of the family's 1533-position model. The record is from RNAcentral.